Molecule: ribosomal RNA, 419 nt
Filed under: bacterium
Lineage: Bacteria
Description: partial 16S ribosomal RNA
Rfam family: Bacterial small subunit ribosomal RNA
Source: RNAcentral
UGGGGGAUAUUGCACAAUGGGCGAAAGCCUGAUGCAGCGACGCCGCGUGGGGGAUGAAGGCCUUCGGGUUGUAAACUUCUUUUGCUCUGAACAAGGCAUGCUAAUGGGUGCGUUGAGUGUAGGGGUUGAUUAGCGCCGGCUAACUACGUGCCAGCAGCCGCGGUAAUACGUAGGGCGCGAGCGUUGUCCGGAAUUAUUGGGCGUAAAGGGCUUGUAGGUGGCUGGUUGCGUCUGUCGUGAAAGCUCAUGGCUUAACUGUGGGUUUGCGGUGGGUACGGGCUGGCUUGAGUGCAGUAGGGGAGGCUGGAAUUCCUGGUGUAGCGGUGGAAUGCGCAGAUAUCAGGAGGAAUACCGGUGGCGAAGGCGGGUCUCUGGGCUGUUACUGACACUGAGGAGCGAAAGCAUGGGGAGCGAACAGG